GAGAGAGAAGAGAAGAGACUUAGCUUUGGAUGAAGGAAAGCUUUGCUUCUUUCUGCAACUUAUAAUAGUAUUAGCUUCAAAAUAAUUUUUUUCAAGAUGACUACUACUUUGAUUUAAGGAAUCUUUUUUUUUUCUUUCUGGAAAGCUGGAGUCUACUAGAGUGAGGUUAGACGCAUUUUCUUUGGCAGCAUAACUCUAUUUUUAUGGAAGCUAUGCCUGUUCUUGGAGUUGACUCAAAGCUAAGACAUCCAGCUGUUGGGUCAAAGCCUGUUCAUUUUGCCCUACCGAUACCAAAUCUUGGCACCACAGGAUUACAUCAGUAUUCUUCCAGAUCUUUGGAACUUACUGAAGCUGAGGGUUCCAUGCUUGCAUGUCAGCUCACAUUAAAGUCAACCUGUGAUUUUGGGAAGAAUAGAUCUCUCCCAGGAAAAACCAAGGAGACUGAAGAUAGUAAGGAACCCAGCCUAGUUCAGAGAUGAAAGGAUACUAUUGAAUCCUGCUUGGAUGUACCGGCAUUCUGUCCUCCUUCAAAGGAAUAUUGCUGUUUCCUGCUGCAGGUAGGUGUAAUGUUCUUAGUUCUUUUGAAAGGACUUAUUCAAAAGUUCAUAAAGCCCUUAUGUUGAUUCCCCAGCAUUAAGAGUUGGUUAUAAUUUCUUCAUUUUUGGUUUGACUCAAGAGCUGAAAGAACAAAUCACUUAUAAAGGGGUCAUGCAAAUGAAUAAUAAUGUCAUGUCUUUUUAUGGCCCCUCAGUAAAAAAAAAAAAAAAAAAAAAA
Long non-coding RNA from Antechinus flavipes (yellow-footed antechinus), 774 nucleotides. RefSeq lists it as uncharacterized. The record is from RefSeq and is a predicted model, not a curated record. The transcript has 2 exons. NCBI's taxonomy places the organism in Eukaryota, Metazoa, Chordata, Mammalia, Dasyuromorphia, Dasyuridae.